GCACCCUGCUGAGUUGGGCGGCCGGAUGGAACUGACGAUUGAUGGGACUGGCCCUGUUGACAUGCAUACCUACCUUUCUGAGCAACUACCCGACACUCCCAAAUCCGAUGUCCUGGCUUGCCAUACCCAAAACACACAUCACUACCCAAUCUACACUCACCUUGAUGGAAUCUGCCACACUUCAGACAUAAAGGAUUGGUACGAGCAUUGCUAACAUUGACCUGGGACUUAGAGCCUGGUUCCCUAUCCCUAUUGUCGUUUCUGAAUUUGGGUACUGG
RNAcentral lists this long non-coding RNA (278 nucleotides) under Capsicum annuum. RNAcentral's name for it is "long non-coding RNA (CANN_LNC008384)". Lineage: Eukaryota; Viridiplantae; Streptophyta; Magnoliopsida; Solanales; Solanaceae. The record is from RNAcentral.